RNAcentral lists this ribosomal RNA (253 nucleotides) under uncultured bacterium. Its description in RNAcentral is "partial 16S ribosomal RNA". It matches the Rfam family "Bacterial small subunit ribosomal RNA", at positions 524 to 776 of the family's 1533-position model. The record is from RNAcentral.
UACGUAGGGUGCAAGCGUUAAUCGGAAUUACUGGGCGUAAAGCGUGCGCAGGCGGUGAUGUAAGACAGAUGUGAAAUCCCCGGGCUCAACCUGGGAACUGCAUUUGUGACUGCAUCGCUGGAGUGCGGCAGAGGGGGAUGGAAUUCCGCGUGUAGCAGUGAAAUGCGUAGAUAUGCGGAGGAACACCGAUGGCGAAGGCAGUGUUCUGGGCCAGUACUGACGCUGAGGAGCGAAAGCGUGGGGAGCAAACAGG